Molecule: ribosomal RNA, 696 nt
Filed under: uncultured bacterium
Lineage: Bacteria
Description: bacterial SSU rRNA
Rfam family: Bacterial small subunit ribosomal RNA
Source: RNAcentral
UAUAUCCCCACACUGGAAUGGACCGGCCCAGAUCUCUUACGGAGGCACGCAGUGGGGAAAUUUUCGCACAAUUGGGCGCACGCCUGAUCCAGCCCAUGCCGCGUGAGUGAAGAAGGCCUUCGGUUUUGUAAAGCUUCUUUCGGCUUGGGAAGAAAUUCGCAUUCUCUAAUACGGGGUGGGGAUGACGGUACCAGCAUAAAGAAGCACCGGGCUAACUACGUGCCAGCAGCCGCGGUAAUACGUAGGGUGCGAGCGUUAAUCGGAAUUACUGGGCGUAAAGCGUGCGCAGGCGGUUUCGUAAGACAGAGGUGAAAUCCCCGGGCUCAACCUGGGAACUGCCUUUGUGACUGCGAGGCUAGAGUAUGGCAGAGGGGGGUGGAAUUCCACGUGUAGCAGUGAAAUGCGUAGAGAUGUGGAGGAACACCGAUGGCGAAGGCAGCCCCCUGGGCCAAUACUGACGCUCAUGCACGAAAGCGUGGGGAGCAAACAGGAUUAGAUACCCUGGUAGUCCACGCCCUAAACGAUGUCAACUAGGUGUUGGGUGGGUUAAACCAUUUAGUACCGUAGCUAACGCGUGAAGUUGACCGCCUGGGGAGUACGGCCGCAAGGUUAAAACUCAAAGGAAUUGACGGGGACCCGCACAAGCGGUGGAUGAUGUGGAUUAAUUCGAUGCAACGCGAAAAACCUUACCUACCC